Molecule: ribosomal RNA, 427 nt
Filed under: uncultured prokaryote
Description: bacterial SSU rRNA
Rfam family: Bacterial small subunit ribosomal RNA
Source: RNAcentral
UGGGGAAUUUUGGACAAUGGGCGCAAGCCUGAUCCAGCCAUUCCGCGUGCAGGACGAAGGCCUUCGGGUUGUAAACUGCUUUUGUACGGAACGAAAAGGCUCUGGCUAAUACCUGGGGCUCAUGACGGUACCGUAAGAAUAAGCACCGGCUAACUACGUGCCAGCAGCCGCGGUAAUACGUAGGGUGCAAGCGUUAAUCGGAAUUACUGGGCGUAAAGCGUGCGCAGGCGGUUAUGUAAGACAGAGGUGAAAUCCCCGGGCUCAACCUGGGAACUGCCUUUGUGACUGCAUAGCUGGAGUACGGCAGAGGGGGAUGGAAUUCCGCGUGUAGCAGUGAAAUGCGGAGAUAUGCGGAGGAACACCGAUGGCGAAGGCAAUCCCCUGGGCCUGUACUGACGCUCAUGCACGAAAGCGUGGGGAGCAAACA